UACGUAGGGUCCGAGCGUUGUCCGGAAUUAUUGGGCGUAAAGAGCUCGUAGGCGGUGUGUCGCGUCGGCCGUGAAAACCUGGGGCUUAACUCUGGGCUUGCGGUCGAUACGGGCAUCACUGGAGUUCGGCAGGGGAGACUGGAAUUCCUGGUGUAGCGGUGAAAUGCGCAGAUAUCAGGAGGAACACCGGUGGCGAAGGCGGGUCUCUGGGCCGAUACUGACGCUGAGGAGCGAAAGCGUGGGGAGCGAACAGG
This 254-nucleotide ribosomal RNA is filed under the name uncultured bacterium. Its description in RNAcentral is "partial 16S ribosomal RNA". It matches the Rfam family "Bacterial small subunit ribosomal RNA", at positions 524 to 776 of the family's 1533-position model. The record is from RNAcentral.